GAGGAAUAUUGGUCAAUGGGCGCGAGCCUGAACCAGCCAAGUAGCGUGCAGGAUGACGGCCCUAUGGGUUGUAAACUGCUUUUGUAUGGGGAUAAAGUCAAUCACGUGUGAUUGUUUGCAGGUACCAUAUGAAUAAGGACCGGCUAAUUCCGUGCCAGCAGCCGCGGUAAUACGGAAGGUCCAGGCGUUAUCCGGAUUUAUUGGGUUUAAAGGGAGUGUAGGCGGUCUGUUAAGCGUGUUGUGAAAUUUAGGUGCUCAACAUCUACCUUGCAGCGCGAACUGGCGGACUUGAGUGCACGCAACGUAUGCGGAAUUCAUGGUGUAGCGGUGAAAUGCUUAGAUAUCAUGACGAACUCCGAUUGCGAAGGCAGCGUACGGGAGUGUUACUGACGCUUAAGCUCGAAGGUGCGGGUAUCGAACAGGAUUAGAUACCCUGGUAGUCCGCACGGUAAACGAUGGAUGCCCGCUGUUAGCGCCUGGCGUUAGCGGCUAAGCGAAAGCAUUAAGCAUCCCACCUGGGGAGUACGCCGGCAACGGUG
Molecule: ribosomal RNA, 539 nt
Filed under: uncultured bacterium
Lineage: Bacteria
Description: bacterial SSU rRNA
Rfam family: Bacterial small subunit ribosomal RNA
Source: RNAcentral